This 254-nucleotide ribosomal RNA is filed under the name uncultured bacterium. Its description in RNAcentral is "partial 16S ribosomal RNA". It matches the Rfam family "Bacterial small subunit ribosomal RNA", at positions 524 to 776 of the family's 1533-position model. The record is from RNAcentral.
UACGUAGGGGGCAAGCGUUGUCCGGAUUUAUUGGGCGUAAAGAGCUCGUAGGUGGUUCGGUAAGUCGGAUGUGAAAUCUCCAGGCUCAACCUGGAGAGGUCAUUCGAUACUGCCGUGACUAGAGGUCGGUAGGGGAGUGUGGAAUUCCUGGUGGAGCGGUGAAAUGCGCAGAUAUCAGGAGGAACACCCGUAGCGAAGGCGGCACUCUGGGCCGAUACUGACACUGAGGAGCGAAAGCGUGGGGAGCGAACAGG